RNAcentral lists this ribosomal RNA (252 nucleotides) under uncultured bacterium. RNAcentral describes it as "partial 16S ribosomal RNA". It matches the Rfam family "Bacterial small subunit ribosomal RNA", at positions 524 to 776 of the family's 1533-position model. The record is from RNAcentral.
UACGUAGGUGGCGAGCGUUAUCCGGAAUGAUUGGGCGUAAAGGGUGCGUAGGCGACCUGCUAAGUCUGGAGUGAAAGGUACCGGCUCAACCGGUACAGGCUCUGGAAACUGGCGGGCUAGAGAGCAGGAGAGGGCGGUGGAACUCCAUGUGUAGCGGUAAAAUGCGUAGAUAUAUGGAAGAACACCAGUGGCGAAGGCGAUUCUCUGGACUGUAACUGACGCUGAGGCUCGAAAGCGUGGGGAGCAAACAGG